Long non-coding RNA from Arabidopsis thaliana (thale cress), 241 nucleotides. RefSeq annotates it as other RNA. The transcript has a single exon. NCBI's taxonomy places the organism in Eukaryota, Viridiplantae, Streptophyta, Magnoliopsida, Brassicales, Brassicaceae. The record is from RefSeq.
CCAAGCUCGCCGGUGAGAAAAUCGAAGACGGGAUCGAGUUUAGAGAUGUCGAAAGUGGGCGAGAAGAGCUGUGGACAGAGGAAAACGAGGCGUGGGAAAUCUUCGUCGGAGAUUCCUUUCGAUUUGAGGAGAUUCACGGCGGAGAGGAUAACGGAAAGAUCAUUCGCCGGAGGAGCAAGUCGGGGAUUCUGAGGAACAAUUCCGAGAGAAGAAAGGUGUCUUAGAUUUUCACGGUGUGAGG